This 488-nucleotide ribosomal RNA is filed under the name uncultured bacterium. RNAcentral describes it as "bacterial SSU rRNA". It matches the Rfam family "Bacterial small subunit ribosomal RNA", at positions 30 to 509 of the family's 1533-position model. The record is from RNAcentral.
AUUGAACGCUGGCGGCAUGCCUUACACAUGCAAGUCGAACGGCAGCAUGGGUGCUUGCACCUGAUGGCGAGUGGCGAACGGGUGAGUAAUGCAUCGGAACGUACCCGGAAGUGGGGGAUAACGUAGCGAAAGUUACGCUAAUACCGCAUAUUCUGUGAGCAGGAAAGCGGGGGAUCGCAAGACCUCGCGCGAAUGGAGCGGCCGAUAUCAGAUUAGGUAGUUGGUGGGGUAAAGGCUCACCAAGCCAACGAUCUGUAGCUGGUCUGAGAGGACGACCAGCCACACUGGAACUGAGACACGGUCCAGACUCCUACGGGAGGCAGCAGUGGGGAAUUUUGGACAAUGGGCGCAAGCCUGAUCCAGCCAUUCCGCGUGCAGGAUGAAGGCCUUCGGGUUGUAAACUGCUUUUGUACGGAACGAAACGGUCUGCCCUAAUACGGUGGGCUAAUGACGGUACCGUAAGAAUAAGCACCGGCUAACUACGUGCC